Phascolarctos cinereus (koala) is the source of this 4536-nucleotide non-coding RNA. Lineage: Eukaryota; Metazoa; Chordata; Mammalia; Diprotodontia; Phascolarctidae. The record is from RefSeq and is a predicted model, not a curated record.
GAGAGAGAGAGAGAGAGAGAGAGAGAUAAGGAGACAAAAGGAGAAAAAGAAAGGAGACAUGGGGGUAAAAAGCUGCCUGCAGUCUGUAUCUCAGCCUCUCAAAUCUGUUCGAGCUAUUGUACCAGAGGUGGAAGGGGGUUUUAGAGUAAUGUCCGUGAUUAGGUAACAGUUAAUUUUAUGUCAAGUUAAAAAUCCCGAACAAGACCAGGGAUUUAAGUUGGGGGUAGGGGUGGACGCAGAAUGUUAGAUUUACAGUGAGCUACAGGGAAAUCUAUAUGAACUUUUGGUGAAUCUAAGAAUUCUCCUGGGCUGCAGACGGUCAAAACGAAGGCAACAUCUUCCCUCUCCACUCCCAGCUGCUCUCCCUCAGUCCCUAGCUUCGGUGGACUUCUCUCCUUUGCAGUGAUUUUGUGUGCCUUCUCCGUCCCCCGCCCUCCACACACACACAGUCUUUGGUCAGAAGGGCUGGAAGAAAAUUCAUUUUGCCUCAAGCCGAGACCAAGGUUUGGCCUUGAGCGGGGUGUGUGAAUGAACUAAAUCCUAAAUAAUGGAAGACACUUAAGGGUCAUAAAGGACUUUGCAGUAAGCUUGAAAGUGGUGGUGUGGAGAGGGAGUGGGAAUGUUGGGGAGAAAGGUGAAAAGUAUUGAAAAGCGGUUUGUUCAGGAAACGUGCAAGUAUAUAAAUCCGGUACUUGGCAAAGCUUGCUAGAGAGUUUGCAUCUUGCCUGAAAACCUCGGAGUGAUGUUCUCGCCUCGAACCUCCGGGGUAGUCAACUGGCUCACGAACAAUCCAUCAAAACCAGUGGACUGGAUGGCUCUACCCUAUUUUGCCUGUCGUCCUUCCCCACACUGUGGCUCGAGAAGGUCCUGAGCCAGGGAAAAGGGCACAUUUGCAAGGGCUCGUUUAAAAAAAAAAAAAAGAUAAGAAAGGGUCUCUUCCCUGCUUCCUCAGUUCCUCUGACAACGCUAAGGUUGAAGGGUUAGAACAACUAGGCCAAAGCGAUCUGAACUUUCUCCUCUCAGGUCAGCCUGCGCUGGUCGAUCCUGGCGUGGGGCUGUGUUUACAGACACUUGCCUUUGUUUAUAACACAGGAGAGGAGAGUCCCUCUCUUAUUUUCUUUCGCUCUCCUGAUCUGGCCCUAGCUUUCCACGUAGUGGUGCCCUUAACUUCCAUUCUUCCACAGGCUCCUUCCAUGUCAGUUAUGAGCCUGGGUGUUACAUGCGAUUAUGGUGAUGAUAGUGUUGUUAAAAUGUGUCUAAGGGAGAGACAGAAAGAAACGGACAGAGAACUAGUUCUGUGUACACAAUGUGUGUGCCACGGCGCUGAUAUAUGCGAAUGUAUAUGUGAGAGAUAGCUAGUUCUCUUUGAACGGCGUGCAAGAAUGUGUGUAUUGUGUGAAUAUGCGUUGCGUGUUUGUAUAAAAAAUAGACGAAAGAGAGACAACACGAGAACAUGAUAAAACUGAAUUUAUCUUUCGAGUUUGUAAGUAUGUGUAUCCUUGUGUCCUUGGGCUUAAAACAGAAGUCUGCUGGAUUUAGUGUUAUUUUAAUAAACUCCAGCUAAAUUAAGAAUGAACUUUUGGCUUGCGAUGGCAGCGCUGUAGUAAAUAUGCCUCAAAAAUCUCUCGUGAAAAUUCUGGCUUUCAAGCUGAAUCAGGAGCUCCUGAUUCCCUGUCACCCCCAUUGUGCCCAAUCUCAGCCCCACCCCCACCCUUCCUUAGGGGUGGGCUCUUGUGCCCUGUUCUGGGGAAUGUUCUGGCUCUCUGCAUCUUAAUGAGUCCAUUGGUCACUCAUUCCAACUGAGGGGGGGGAUGAGAUCAAGUUCAGGUGAUUCCCCACCCCCAGCUAAUCGACAAUUCCCUCUUGCCCCUUCCUUCUCUGUUAAUGUUCUCUUUUCUUUUUCAAUUUCUCCAAGUGGCUGCCUUGUGGGACAAGCUAGAAGGAAUCUAUUUUAAUUGCUCGGAUAAUGUGGAUGCUGCCAUUUUCUUAAAAGCAAUCACUCCUGGAGCGAAAUCACAAGAGCUCUAGACAGGCCGGAGCCGACAAAAAUGUCCUUCAGGCAAGAAGGCAAUACUUGCAGAAGAGCCUCCUCAUUGGUGGUCAGAGUACGAUCUCACCCCACUGGAGCUUCCGAGAACUCAGAAAGUCCCUUGGACUGCGUCCUUAUUUUAAGAAGUCCUCUCCCAACAUCGCCCCCUGGGAAUCUGGAAAGCAUAUUUGGGAAUUUGGGGGUUCCCUCCAGGACCUAACGAGCAUCAGUGGCCCUGGGACAACAGAAAAAAGGAGAAGGAAAAAGUCGAACAGAGCUGCUACAGAGAAGAGCGUGACCAAGGAGGACCAUUGCUCUUGGUAGACAUCUGAAACAGAAGACUCUGGGCAAAAACAUCAAGUUUACCUAUCUCUUCAAGGACUAGGGGAAGUUCCAAGAAAAGAUGGGGACAGAUGUAGGAGGUUAUUCAUGGACAUUAAAGUGGCAGUUUAAAGUAAUCCUCCUUAUUACCAUUAAAUAAUGGUAGCAUUUGGUAUAAAUGAGAUAAUUCUUCCUAAAGUUCCAUGUUCCAGGAAAAAGGAAGUUGCUGAGUUAAAAGUCUGCCUUGGCAUUUCACUUAUCUAGGACAUGAAUAAGUCUGACUCUGGGUUCUAAGAGAAGCAAUUACUGAAUUGAAUCUGCCUGAGAAUUGUUUUGAGACGUCAGUCACUCAUUUGCAUAUGACAGGGCAUGGAACCUUGGACCAUAUGGAAAACAAAGUCUGUUUUUACUAGUGUGAAUAUGAAGAAUUGAAGGGUUUUAGAGCUUUAAGAUUCUAGAAUAGGGAAGCUAUGGACACCAGAACUAUUCUACAAUUAUAGGACAUUUGUCCUAUUUACUUGACUAUUCACAGAAUUUGGUUACUAACCCUAAGUUAAGGUGGGAUCCUUUGUAGAGAUGAUCUAGUUUUGGAACCAAGAAAGUUCAGAAGAAUACAGAAAAGUAGAAGAACAGAUUUCAGAAGUAUGUUAAAGAGAACAACCCCUCCUCACCCCCUACUCAUUGCCAGGUAGAGUAUGUGACUGGUGAGAUGACUGGAGCGUCCUCUACUGCCACCUGCUGCUGAGAAGGAAUAGGGAGACUACUCUGUGUUCUCCAUUGCAACUACAGCUAAGAAGAUAAAUAAUAAAAACAACAAUUAUUAUGGUUUGUUACUGAUAAAGAGAAGAAGAAAAGACGGAAGAUACUUUUCUGCAUUGCGUCUUGCUGUGACUGUUGAGAGAUGGAGGAGAAAAAGAAUCUUGCAAAGAAACACAUUUGGAAAGAUGUUUGCCAAUUUUAGGAUAAAGAUUGUUGCUUUUUCCUAAGAGCAUAACACUGCUUUUGCUGGAACGUCGAGUUGAUGUUUCAGUUGUUUAGGAGUCAGCUGAGCUGUGUGGAGGAGCAGCUUGGAAAGAGCAUCAAAGAGGUAAUCCAGCUGUGAUAUAACGUGGGCUAAGGUAUUAAUCAUGCACAAAGAGCAUCAGUACUUACAGAAGCUGCACUUAUCGAGAAACUUUAAUGGACAGUUCCUGAGACAGAAAGAGGAGACCAAAGUCUACAGUAUGAGAGCUGUCAAUUUCCUUGGCUUCCAUACAUGUACGGUUUUACCUUGGAAUUUUAAGUGCAAGCCCAUUCUCCCCAUAGACACCAUAUACAUUGGUUGGAGAAUACUAUUGAGGUUUAUUGGUGGAGCUAUAUGCAAAUAUAUGUGUUUCCUUUACAUUUUCAGUAAAUAUUUUGUUUAAGGUUAAUUGUCUAUUAACAACUGAUUGAUUCUCAAACUUGUGCUUUCAAGGGAAGCAAUGGCUUACACCAAAUUACACUAAUUUCUUUGUCUAAUUACAUAGUAUGCCAUAUAUUGGCAAGACGGCAUCCUCUCUGUACCAUCAUGCCCUUGGUGACUUGCUCAUUUAAAGUAAUUGAGCUCACCUGGCUUGGUUUGACUGACACACUAAAUUACCUGGAGCUGCUGUGAACAGAAUUAGGAGCAUUGUGCAUUUCCUCUCCAUCCCCUACUCCAAUUUGCUCUGGAGACAGGGCCACCAAGGCAACAUGGGAAAAUUAGAGCAACAUGCCACAGAAAUUUCUAUUUCUAUUUUCAGUAAUCAUGUCUUAUAAAGGCAGUGCAACAACUGAAGUACCCAAAGUAAUUAAUCUAGUUUAUAAACUAAGCCCAUCUAAAAUAUUUUCUCUUUUAAGAUUAAAGAACUUAAAAUUACUACCUACUUUUAAGAAAGAAAUUGAAAUCCUGAAAACAGAAAGAAAAUAGUAUGAUAAUAAUGCUGAUCAUUUCAGAAAACAUGUUUUGCUAAAUUAAUAUCUUAGCCAAAAAUGAAUGUCAUAUUCAUUUUUUAAUUUGGAAUUUCAGAUAAGAUUGUUAGUUUAUGUCUUCAGAUAUCUUUCAACACCUGUCUUCAAAAGGUGGCUAGAUGUUGCAGUGGAGAGAGGGCUAGGCUUGGAGUCAGAAACACCUAAUUCAAAUCCACCCUCAGACACUUAGUAGCUGUGUGACCCUGUGCAAAUCA